GGAAACAAAUGACGGAAGGGGGGAGGAAAGGAGAAUGAGUGUAUGUAUUUGCAUCGCAGAAUGAAACAGGUGCCAUUAUACCAGCACUAAUGCACCAGAUCCAAUCAGAACUUCGCAGUUAAGUGUGCUUGGGCGAGAGAAGUACUAGAAUGGGUGAACUCCUGGGAAGUCCUCGUGUUGCACCUAUUUUUUUACAGAUGGGUAGUUCGACGUUACGUGCAAUUGGAAAUAUGGUCCACUGGUUUAUUCGCAAAUAUGAGUCACGGCGCUGGGGUAUUUUACUUGAUAUUAGAACGAGAAGGAGAGGUGCAGUGUGCACGCACAAGGAAACAAAUGACGGGAGGGAGGAGGGAAGGAGAAGGAGUGUAUGUUUUUGCAGCACGGAAUGAAACAUGUGCGAUCAUGCCAGCACUAAUGCACCAGAUCCCAUCAAAAGUCCGCAGUUAAGUGUGCUUGGGCGAGAAUAGUACUAGAAUCGGUGACCUCCUGUAAAGUCCUCGUGUUGCACACAUUUUUUUGAAGAUGGGUCGUUCAACGUUACGUGCGACUAGAACUAUGGUCCGCUGGAUUAUUAACAAAUAAGAGUCGCGGCAACGGGGUAUUUUACUUGAUAUUAAAACGAGAAGCAAAGGUGAAGUGUGCACGCACAAGGAAACAAAUGACGGGAGGGGGGAGGAAACGAGAAUGAGUGUAUGUAUUUGCAUCGCAGAAUGAAACAGGUGCCAUUAUACCAGCACUAAUGCACCUGAUCCAAUCAGAACUUCGCAGUUAAGUGUGCUUGGGCGAGAGAAGUACUAGAAUGGGUGAACUCCUGGGAAGUCCUCCUGUUGCACCUAUUUUUUUGUAGAUGGGUCACUGGAUGUUACGCACGUUUGGAACUAUACUCCGCAGUUAAGUGUGCUUGAGCAGAGUAGUACUACGAUGGGUGACCUCCUUGGAAUUUCUCGUGUUGCACUUAUUUUUUUACAGAUGGAUCGUUCCACCUUAC
This 988-nucleotide long non-coding RNA is filed under the name Carica papaya (papaya). The record is from RNAcentral. Lineage: Eukaryota; Viridiplantae; Streptophyta; Magnoliopsida; Brassicales; Caricaceae.